This 253-nucleotide ribosomal RNA is filed under the name uncultured bacterium. RNAcentral's name for it is "partial 16S ribosomal RNA". It matches the Rfam family "Bacterial small subunit ribosomal RNA", at positions 524 to 776 of the family's 1533-position model. The record is from RNAcentral.
GACGAACCGUGCGAACGUUGUUCGGAAUCACUGGGCUUAAAGGGUGCGUAGGCGGUGAAUUAAGUCAGUGGUGAAAGCUUACAGCUUAACUGUAAAAAUGCCAUUGAAACUGAUUUUCUUGAGUUCGAUUGAGGUAGAUGGAAUGUAUCAUGUAGCGGUGAAAUGCUUAGAUAUGAUACAGAACACCAAUUGCGAAGGCAGUCUACUAAGUCGAUACUGACGCUGAGGCACGAAAGCAUGGGGAGCAAACAGG